This 387-nucleotide ribosomal RNA is filed under the name uncultured bacterium. RNAcentral's name for it is "bacterial SSU rRNA". It matches the Rfam family "Bacterial small subunit ribosomal RNA", at positions 28 to 417 of the family's 1533-position model. The record is from RNAcentral.
GACGAACGCUGGCGGCGUGCUUAACACAUGCAAGUCGAGCGGUAAGGCCCUUUCGGGGGUACACGAGCGGCGAACGGGUGAGUAACACGUGGGUGACCUGCCCUCAGCUCUGGGAUAAGCCUGGGAAACUGGGUCUAAUACCGGAUAUGACUCCAUGACGCAUGUUGUGGAGUGGAAAGCCUUGUGCGGCUGAGGAUGGGCCCGCGGCCUAUCAGCUUGUUGGGGGGUGAUGGCCUACCAAGGCGACGACGGGUAGCCGGCCUGAGAGGGCGACCGGCCACACUGGGACUGAGAUACGGCCCAGACUCCUACGGGAGGCAGCAGUGGGGAAUCUUGCGCAAUGGGCGAAAGCCUGACGCAGCGACGCCGCGUGAGGGAUGACGGCCU